RNAcentral lists this small nucleolar RNA (188 nucleotides) under Sorex araneus (European shrew). RNAcentral's name for it is "Small nucleolar RNA U3 (ENSSARG00000014722.1)". It matches the Rfam family "Small nucleolar RNA U3", at positions 23 to 219 of the family's 219-position model. From Rfam's summary of the family: Small nucleolar RNAs (snoRNAs) are involved in the processing and modification of rRNA in the nucleolus. There are two main classes of snoRNAs: the box C/D class, and the box H/ACA class. Lineage: Eukaryota; Metazoa; Chordata; Mammalia; Eulipotyphla; Soricidae. The record is from RNAcentral.
UUUUUAUAGUUUGCUACUAGAGAGGGUUCUCAGAUACUGUAGAGCAUUUGAAACCAUGUGGAAAAGCCAAAGCAACCUCUUCUGAGCAUGAAGCUGGUUCUAGAUGUUGCUUUUGCAACUGCCUUUUACCACUGAUGAUCGUUCUUUUCUUCCUUUCAAAGAGUGAGAGUGAGAAGCUGGAUUAAGGG